GGGGAUUAGUGGCGAACGGGUGAGUAACACGUGGGCAAUCUGCCCUUCACUCUGGGACAAGCCCUGGAAACGGGGUCUAAUACCGGAUACUGACCUGCCAAGGCAUCUUGGCGGGUCGAAAGCUCCGGCGGUGAAGGAUGAGCCCGCGGCCUAUCAGCUUGUUGGUGAGGUAAUGGCUCACCAAGGCGACGACGGGUAGCCGGCCUGAGAGGGCGACCGGCCACACUGGGACUGAGACACGGCCCAG
This 247-nucleotide ribosomal RNA is filed under the name uncultured bacterium. RNAcentral describes it as "partial 16S ribosomal RNA". It matches the Rfam family "Bacterial small subunit ribosomal RNA", at positions 87 to 334 of the family's 1533-position model. The record is from RNAcentral.